GACGUAGGGUGCGAGCGUUGUCCGGAUUUAUUGGGCGUAAAGAGCUCGUAGGCGGCUCGUCGCGUCAGCUGUGAAAACCCGCAGCUUAACUGUGGGCUUGCAGCUGAUACGGGCGGGCUAGAGUUCGGUAGGGGAGACUGGAAUUCCUGGUGUAGCGGUGAAAUGCGCAGAUAUCAGGAGGAACACCAAUUGCGAAGGCAGCUCGCUGGAACGUUACUGACGCUGAGACGCGAAAGCGUGGGGAGCAAACAGG
Molecule: ribosomal RNA, 253 nt
Filed under: uncultured bacterium
Lineage: Bacteria
Description: partial 16S ribosomal RNA
Rfam family: Bacterial small subunit ribosomal RNA
Source: RNAcentral